AGCGAACGCUGGCGGCAGGCCUAACACAUGCAAGUCGAACGAACUCUUCGGAGUUAGUGGCGGACGGGUGUGUAACACGUGGGAACGUGCCUCUUGGUUCGGAAUAACUCAGGGAAACUUGUGCUAAUAUCGAAUGUGUCCCUCGGGGGAAAGAUUCAUCGCCAUUAGAGCGGCCCGCGUCUGAUUAGCUAGUUGGUGAGGUAACGGCUCACCAAGGCGACGAUCAGUAGCUGGUCUGAGAGGAUGACCAGCCACACUGGGACUGAGACACGGCCCAGACUCCUACGGGAGGCAGCAGUGGGGAAUCUUGCGCAAUGGGCGAAAGCCUGAAGCAGCCAUGCCGCGUGAAUGAUGAAGGUCUUAGGAUUGUAAAAUUCUUUCACCGGGGACGAUAAUGACGGUACCCGGAGAAGAAGCCCCGGCUAACUUCGUG
RNAcentral lists this ribosomal RNA (433 nucleotides) under uncultured bacterium. RNAcentral describes it as "partial 16S ribosomal RNA". It matches the Rfam family "Bacterial small subunit ribosomal RNA", at positions 29 to 507 of the family's 1533-position model. The record is from RNAcentral.